RNAcentral lists this non-coding RNA (127 nucleotides) under uncultured Sporosarcina sp. RNAcentral describes it as "FMN riboswitch (RFN element)". It matches the Rfam family "FMN riboswitch aptamer (RFN element)". From Rfam's summary of the family: The RFN element is a highly conserved domain that is found frequently in the 5'-untranslated regions of prokaryotic mRNAs that encode for flavin mononucleotide (FMN) biosynthesis and transport proteins. This element is a metabolite-dependent riboswitch that directly binds FMN in the absence of proteins. In Bacillus subtilis, the riboswitch most likely controls gene expression by causing premature transcription termination within the 5' untranslated region of the ribDEAHT operon and precluding access to the ribosome-binding site of ypaA mRNA. The record is from RNAcentral. Lineage: Bacteria; Bacillati; Bacillota; Bacilli; Caryophanales; Caryophanaceae.
CAUCUUCGGGGCAGGGUGUAAUUCCCGACCGGCGGAAAUAGGAGCGAAAGCUUUUUAGCCCGCGAGCUUAACAGCUGAUUCCAGUGGGAUUCUGGAGCCGACAGUAUAGUCUGGAUGGGAGAAGGUG